RNAcentral lists this long non-coding RNA (5499 nucleotides) under Homo sapiens (human). RNAcentral's name for it is "colorectal cancer associated 1 (COLCA1)". The record is from RNAcentral. Lineage: Eukaryota; Metazoa; Chordata; Mammalia; Primates; Hominidae.
GAAAGACUUUUGAGAUGGACUUUUGAAAGAGUGUUUGAGGGAACUGUUAAUGCUGGCUGUACUGACCUGCAGAAGAUGGUGCAACUGGGUCUGAAAGGUGGACACUGCUGCCUCCGGACCGCUGUCAAAGCAAGAAUAUCACCGUGAAGCAGGCUGAAAGAAAUGCUCUGAAGGGAAAGCUAAGACAUUUUGAUGAGGACUAUGUUUCUUUCUGCUAUAAGGAAAAGCCGUGGAAACACACCCGGAUUGAAAUGCCCCUGGCCCGCCUGACCCGACCCUAGGAGAAGCAGCCGAGUUACCCGACAUCGUGGUCAGCAGGAGCUGGGUCGGUGGCUGGAUGCUGCAGCAGCAGGGACUCAGCGCCUGGGAGGGCUCCUGGGGCAGGGAGAGAAGCAGAGAUGCAACAUUUUUAAAAUUUCACAAAGCAUCCGGCUGCACCCAGGUCCCUGGAACAGGAGACAAACAGAAUUAAUGUUUUAUACCUUCGGGUAUAGGUUUGAGUUUUUUCCCCCUCAUGCCAAGUAUUUAAAACCUCUAGAAACCCAUGAUUUGACAAUCAAUGAUUGCGCGAUACUUUCAAUUUGAAUAUUCAAAGGCUUAACAAAAUGGACUAUCUUCUGCAGAAAUCCUGCACACAGGCACCCCACAGAGAGUCCAGAGAAACAGGGAGUGAGACCCCUUUGGGUCCUGGCCCUUGCUUUUAUUAUAGUUUGAGCAUUUUGUCCUCCUUCCCACAGAUAGAGCAGAUGUCCUCAAAGAUGCUCUGUAUUUCAGCCUUCAGGGCAGCUAAGAAGCCAUGAGUGACUUAGGCUGCCCUGGCCAUGAACACCGGAGCCAGACUGGCUGGCCAGACUGAUUCCCGCAUCCCCCAUCUGUGUUUUGAGGGGAAAUCUCAGGUUUUGAGGAAUGAACAUGGCAGCUAGUGGGUGUGGCACAGCAAGAAGUCGCUCUGGGCCCAGGUGGCAGGCCAGCGGCCUAGCAGAGGCCUUCGCUCUGCACCUCCUAUUUUUCUGGCUCCGCCUGGCUACCAGCGGGCUUCCCUCCCCCUUUCAUCCCGCUCUUCCUGGGCCCGACACUGGGGUUUCUGCUCAGAAUGACUGCCCAUUAAGACCCUUUCCUCCUCCCCACAGAGCUGGGGAUGCCAGGAGCCUCAUCCUCUGGAGACUUUCUGACUCUGGGUUUCACCACCGCACUGCGAAGUGCCCUCUUUGCUUUUUCGCCUUCUAGAGCCACCCCUGCCUUUUUGCUGUAGGAGCACAUGUUAGGAAACAAUGACAAGUUUGGCUCCUGCUCAUUUUAACUGAAAGGAUGUGGACUUAGGUUCAAGCCUUCUCCCAUUGGGGUGAGAAGGGGGAGGGACUUGGGAUCAGGCUUCCCCCUUGGUCCAGGCCCAAGCCCCUCACUAAUGACUUGGGAUUCUACUGGGUCAUCUUCUGUGAGUACUUACUGUGCCUCUUCCAUGUGAUUUGGAAGGUGAGGAGACAGGAAUGGUCCACAGAGGGAGAGAGUGCCAGGCCAAGUCCUCUCAUAGCCACCCGCCCCCUCCACAGAAGGGGACAGCAAGAGAAGAGAGAGGCAUGGUGAGGUUCCUUUUGCAAAUAACCAAGAUAUUUCCAGGAUUCAAGACCAGUCCAUGGUUUUAGGCCUCUGCUGUUUAUUCUCUGAGUUCUCAGAAAUGCAAAAAGUGUAGUUUAGCCCCAGAGGCCUCAAGAAAAAGAUUGGGGUGCCCCCAAAUGUGUCAAAUACAGAGGGAAACACACAGAGCUUAGGGAAAGGGCAACUGAGAAUGACAAGACUGAUAGGAAUUGCUUGGCAGCUGAAGCCACAUCUCUGGGGGAGAGGAGCAGGCCUGGGAACACCUGAGGUGGCACCUGGCAGUGGAGGGCAGGAUGGAUGUAUUGAAAUCUGACAGCUUCUGGAACUUCUUUCUACAAAUGCCCCUGAGCCUGUGUCCUAGGUUUCCCUGAUGGACCAGACCUGAGGAGGGGAAGGACAAUGGGGGUGGAGAUGGCACCUCCCCUCCCUGCAUGCCUUCUUCCUCGCUGUGCCUAGGCCUUGCCCCCUCUGAAGGAACAGUGAACCAAGCAGCUUGGAAUCUAGGGAUGGUCUCUUGUCCUCAUAGCGUCUUCCAUUACUUCUUUUCUUCGCUGCUCUCCUCCUUUUUGUUAUACUCUUAUUUUUUGAUUUGCUUUUAAAAACCUUCUUUGUUGCAUUUUUGUUUAUUUCUUUCUGUGUUUCUUUGUCUCUCUUCCUGUCAUUGCUUUCUUCCAUUUCUUAUCUGUACUACUGGUUUUCUCCCUGGCUUCACGUGUCUCUGUGUUCCCCUAUGCUGGGGUGUCCUCCCAGUGCUUUCAGGCUUCAUCUCCUUCCUAACCUCUCCUUUCUAUUUUUUUUUUUUUUUUUUUUGAGAUGGAGUCUUGCUCAGUCGCCCAGGCUGGAGUGCUAACCUCUCCUUUCAUGUGGAGAUGGACAGGGAUGGCAGGAGCACUGAGUGCUCUUGACAACACCAUUGAAGAUGAUGCUGACGAUCAGCUACCCUGUGGAGAAGGCAGGCCAGGCUGGGUGAGAGGGGAGCUCCUUGGAAGUCAGGGGGUCUGUAAGGACAGCAAGGAUCUCUUUGUCCCAACCUCCAGCAGCCUUUAUGGGUGCUUCUGUGUUGGCCUUGUUUCUGGGAUGGCCAUCUCAGUGCUGUUGCUGGCUAGCGAUUUCAGAAAACUAGAUUUUUCUAGGCCUGAGCCCUGUUUUGAGAAAGAAGCUUCCCUCUGGUUUGUAGCUCAACAUUAAUGAGUUUUGGUUCCUGUUGUUUCUAUAAUUACAAAACCCCAGCACAGGUAUUUAAGAGCCAAAGGCCAUGCUUGUGGAAGUAAGGGAGGAUCUUUCUAAAUGGAUCCUGCAAAUCCUCCUUACAGAUCUGAGUGGAUGAUCAGGCCCAGAGCAACCCUGAGACCCCAGGUACCCACAGCAUUGGCUGUUCUUCAUAGGAGACUCAGAGAAGACUUCAUAGGAGACUCAUUAUUGUUUACUGGACAUCAGGUGCUAUAUUGUAUAGCAUUCACAUUCCACAGGUGAGGAAACAGGCUCAGAGGAAUAAGUGGCAUGCCAAGAUCACUGAGUAUAUCAGUAGCAGAAUUAGGAUUCAGACUUUGUUAGGCCUAACUCCAAAGCCCUGGCUUUUUUUUUUUUUGAGAUGGAAUCUUACUCUGUCACCGGGCUGGAGUGCAGUGGCAUGAUCUCAGCUCACUGCAAUCUCUGCCUCCUGGGUUCAAGUGAUUCCCCUGCCUUAGCCUCCUGAGUAGCUGGGACUACAGGCAUGCACCACCACGCCCAGCUAAUUUUUGUGUUUUUAGUAGAGAGGAGGUUUCACCGUGUUGGCCAGGAUGGUCUCAAUCUCUUGACCUUGUGAUCUGCCUGCCUCGGCCUCCCAAAGUACUGGGAUUAUAGGCAUGAGCCACCAUGCCCGGCCUUUGCUCUUAACUACUGAUGUUGUCUUCCUGAUCUUUUCUACAAGAAGCUUUUAAACUUUUUGGACUUUAACCUACAAUAAGAAAUCCAUUUUACAUGUUCACAUGUAUCUAUAACAACAUUUAUAUUUCUAAAACAAACUUUUCAUGAAACAAGAUAUACCUACAUAUGUCAGGCACUCUGAUAUUUUCUAUUCUAGUCCACCUUUUCCAUUUCAUUCUAUUUAUGGGAAAUAUAUGUUGGUUGGGAGUCACUGAGUUAAUUUAAUGACCCACUAAUAGGCUGUGAGUGGCAUUGGAAAAAUACCUGCUUGUAAGAUAUGCGAACACACGUUUCAAGGUUGUUUGUGCAUGUGGAAAUAUUUUGGGGUGCUAUCUGUUUUACCAUCAGUUUGUACAAGGACACUAAGACAGUGUAGCCUGCUGACUUGAGAAUGUUCUGUAAGGACUGGAAACACUAGAAUCUUGAAGAAACGCCUGGCUAGAGGUGAGGGUAAGCUGUUAAUUACACUGAUUACAGUUUGUGCCUCUCAGACUGAGAACUCUUUUCUUCUUGCUGGGGGCAUUGCUAUCUCUAGGAUGUUUGCCCUGAAGUCCUGAUAGUCUCUUUGGGGUUUUAAUAAAUGGCUGAAAAAAUUGUUGUGGGGUUUCAACAGGCGUUCAUAGGCACCCUUGCUUGGCAAUAUAACAUGGCUUUUGAUGUUUGGGUGUUGGAAGGGAUCUUUGAAGUGCUGAGAGGGACUCAGUCUUUUUCCAAAAUCUCUGCUUGUGUCUGUCCAGCCUCUGGCUCCACUGCUUGGCUGAGAUCCUGGCCCAUAGUAGAAUCUGUGUAGAGGAAACGAGAGCUCACUAUUUGUGAGGCAGCCUGUUCCACUAUUGGACUGCUUUAAAUGUAGUGAUCAGUGAUUAUGCUAUAAUCCAAUCAUGUAUUAAUUGGGCACCAACUAUGCACUAGGCAUGGUAUCAAGUACCAGGAGUACAAAAAUAAGUAAACCUUGAUUUCUGCUAUCAAUUACUCUCUUCUCCUACUUCUGUACUACUGCUUUUCUAUUGUGAGUUUGUUUAGUUCAUUAAUUGGUUUAUUCAUUCAUUCAACAAUCAUAUACUGAUUAGCUACUCUGACCAGGUCCAGUACUAACUCUGAAGAAGUUAUGCCCAUCCCAUCUUCACCCCAAGCCUUCUCCUUUUGAGACUCCUCAUCCAGUUUCUUUAGUUCUUCAUAUAUCACUGUUUUUCAGAUCUCUGGCUAUCCUUGCCAUUGACCUCAGAAAUCCUGUAUUUGACCUUAACCUUCUUAUACCCAGUCCAUACCCAAAGUGAUGGAAAUGGAAUAGAUUUCUUUUUAAAGUUUUAAACGAAUAUUUUGACUGAAAAAUUUUGGCAGUCUUGUAUGCAAAUGACACUGCAGAGCAUUGUUUUCUCCCCCCCACGUAGGAGAUUUUAUUCAACUAAGGCACAGGCAUAUUAAAAGACUUUCAGUAUAAGGAAAAGGGGUAGUUUAUUCCCUCCAAAUUUGACUACAGCUCGAAAUUGUCUUUAUUAAUGCAAAGUUCUUUUGUCACCUUGACUUUGGGACACUGUUACCAAACCUCGUGGGAAAUAUCAAGUUCCAGAAGAUUGAAUACAUGCAGGAAACAAAUGUUUUUUGGGCCCUAGAGUGAACAUUUGGUCCAUAUGAAAAUGACCAGGAAGACAAUUAGGUGAAGGUUUUUUAAUGAUUUGUGCUACGUCAGUCUCUUCCCAUAAGACAUAUUCAAAGUUUUAACUUUUCCUUAAGAGGCUUCCAUGGGGAGCAAGCAUUUGAUAAUUCAUCCUUUAAGAAAAACACCACCGUACACUGCUUGAAGAGUUCCUCUUCUAUUACUUAAAACGUUUUUAUUGUGCAACAUUUAAGGCAUACAAAAACAUAUAAAGAAUACCAUGAUGAAAAUCUAUGACUGUAUUACCAAGCUUAAGAAAUAAAACAGUUGAGUGAUCUCUCAUUUAUGACUAAAUUAACUUAUUAAAACCAUUAAAACUUUUGGAUUAUUCCUGUUAA